Ictalurus punctatus (channel catfish) is the source of this 953-nucleotide non-coding RNA. The record is from the annotation of a RefSeq genome assembly. Lineage: Eukaryota; Metazoa; Chordata; Actinopteri; Siluriformes; Ictaluridae.
AUGAAAAUGUUUGAAGAAAUGCUGUAUUGUAGAAAGACCACCAUAAUAAAUGUUAGAUACAUAACCCAUACUGCAUGCAAAUCUCCCCAAUCUCAGACAGAUAUAAAUACACUGCAAGUACACAGCAGUCUUUGUGUUUGGUCAAGUACAGGAGAGGAAUCAUGAGCUGGCCUCUUCUUCUUCUGAUAUCCUCUGUGCCCUAUGAGCAUGGCAUCAGUCUGACCUCGUCUCCUGCUGAGGUUAAACCUCCCGGAGCCUCAGUGAAGUUAUCCUGUCAGAUUUCUGGCUAUGCCCUCACUAGCUACGGCACAGGCUGGAUAAAACAGCCUCCAGGAAAAGGCUUGGAGUGGAUCUGGAUCAUAUGGGGUGGUGGAAGCAUAAACUCUGGAGCUUCCUUUAAAACUCGCUUCAGCAUCUCCAGAGACACGAGCAACAAUGUGCUUUACUUAGAUAUCAGCAGCCUGGUGUCAGAAGACACGGCUGUUUGUUAUUGUACAAAGACACACAGCUGUACAUCUCAGUGAGAGGACUGAACAAAAAUCAAACCUCAAAUAUGUGUGAAGUAUAUUUUGAGUUAAAACCUAAAAGUACAAUUUAUGGAAAUCCAUCACAUCCUAUGUACAUAAAGAAAUAUUAAUUGAUUAUAGUCAAGAUUAAAGCACAGUAAAUAAUGAAUAGAUAGAAACAUCCGAUCUAACAUUCCACUAGUAGUGCAAAUUAUUUAGCUUUUUCACAGACAAUGAAAUUUUCCUAAAUGUUUGACUAGCACUGUACAUAUUUAUAUUUAGGUUUUGUAUACUUAAAUAUCUGCACAUUAUGCUUUCCAUUAUGUUUUAAGUCCUCUGAGAGGCGCUCUUUCUCUACUUACACAGCAUCUACCCAACAUGUUGAGGUUAAAAUGACUGAAAGAUUAAAAGGACUGAGAGAGAACUGAUGUCCUCCUGGGAUUUUCG